ACCUAGUUUAUUUGGCAAAAUCUCUGUUACUACAAAGGUUUUUAACAUCAUGUAAGCAUUUAUAAACAUAAACACAGUGGAAGAUGGUGCUCUUGAGAUCUAGACAUGGCGUUAUCAUAAAAGAUGUUGGCAACUGGAUGACGAGCUGCAGUGUUUGAGCUUCGUUUCUUAAAUGUGAGGGACACACAUAAGAGGCAUGCUGUUCUUUUACAUCCAUCAAUGAAGAACAACGAUAAAGAUGAGCACCUACCGGGGGAUGUGAAAAUCUUUUGUCCAGAAGUAAUACAAAAGGAUGAAACCGAGAUUUUUAGUUUUGGCAGUAUGAUAUCGACCAUCAAGGCAAAAACGCAAACGGCCUUGUGCAUUUUGAUGAGGCAGCUUUGGUCCAAUGUUCGCAUUCAAUGACGAUGUAAGUCUCCUACGAUUGCGCUUCUUCGGACAGUAACUAUUGAAAAUAGCACACACAGAAUGCACAAUGUUCUUAAAAGUUUUUGAUGUACAUGGUAGCUAUUAUUGUCGUUCCAUAAUGUCAACGUCCGACCUCGCCACCUUAUAGUAUAAAUGCAUUUAAUCCCCAGCACAAUUAUAUUACAUAGUCUUGUACUUGAAUCAAACGUAGUGGUUGCUAUCAUGGUCAGAUGCUUUAAUCAGACCACGAAAGUCAUGGUGGUGGUUUGUGAUUCUUGCACACAACCUGGAUUCGCAUUGAUGAAACUUAAAUUCCAUGAUCCCAUGACUAUGAAGGAAGCGCUAUGACUGU
Molecule: non-coding RNA, 760 nt
Organism: Sesamum indicum (sesame)
Lineage: Eukaryota; Viridiplantae; Streptophyta; Magnoliopsida; Lamiales; Pedaliaceae
Source: RefSeq, a predicted model, not a curated record